UACAGAGGUCUCGAGCGUUGUUCGGAUUCAUUGGGCGUAAAGGGUGCGUAGGUGGCGAGGUAAGUCGGGCGUGAAAUCCCGGGGCUCAACCCCGGAACUGCGUUCGAUACUGCUUUGCUUGAGGACUGGAGAGGAGACUGGAAUUCACGGUGUAGCAGUGAAAUGCGUAGAUAUCGUGAGGAACACCGGUGGCGAAGGCGGGUCUCUAGACAGUUCCUGACACUGAGGCACGAAGGCCAGGGGAGCAAACGGG
RNAcentral lists this ribosomal RNA (253 nucleotides) under uncultured bacterium. RNAcentral describes it as "partial 16S ribosomal RNA". It matches the Rfam family "Bacterial small subunit ribosomal RNA", at positions 524 to 776 of the family's 1533-position model. The record is from RNAcentral.